AGCAGCCGCGGUAAUUCCAGCUCCAAUAGCGUAUAUUAAAGUUGUUGCAGUUAAAAAGCUCGUAGUUGAAUUUCGGGGUCUGUCCGUCGGUCGGGCUUCACGGUCCGUACUGGUGUGAUGGGUUCCUACCUUCUGAAUAACCGGCAUGCCAUUCAGUUGGUGCGCCGGGGAAGCAGAGCUAUUACCUUGAAAAAUUAGAGUGCUUAAAGCAGGCUAGUGCUUGAAUAGAUUAGCAUGGAAUAAUAAAAUAGGACGGCAUGGCUCUACUUUGUUGGUUUCUAGGAUCACCGUAAUGAUUAAUAGGGAUAGUUGGGGGCAUUAGUAUUCAAUUGUCAGAGGUGAAAUUCUUGGAUUUAUUGAAGACUAACUUCUGCGAAAGCAUUUGCCAAGGAUGUUUUCAUUAAUCAAGAACGAAAGUUAGGGGAUCGAAGACGAUCAGAUACCGUCGUAGUCUUAACCAUAAACUAUGCCGACUAGGGAUCGGACGAUGUUAAUUUUUAAUGACUCGUU
This 510-nucleotide unclassified non-coding RNA is filed under the name uncultured Archaeospora. Its description in RNAcentral is "SSU rRNA". It matches the Rfam family "Eukaryotic small subunit ribosomal RNA", at positions 569 to 1080 of the family's 1831-position model. Lineage: Eukaryota; Fungi; Glomeromycota; Glomeromycetes; Archaeosporales; Archaeosporaceae. The record is from RNAcentral.